AACAGAGAAUUAACAGACAAACUGAUGGAAGGUAUGACAUUGCAACAAAUUUGUAGAUGAGGUAUGACAUUGAAAUUUUUUAAAGACGAAGUACGAAACUAUUAAUGACCCAAUAGUUGAGGUAGUUUUGUGUAAUUUACCCUUAAAAUAACUUCAAAGCGCUUUAGGUUAUCAAGAUGUUUAUGAUAAUGUUUGACAAGAAAAAACUAGAAAUGCAUUUGAGUUAUAAAAAAACAUUUGAAAUAAUUUCUAGAAGAAGCAUCUACUAUGUUUUUUUUUUUGGAAACAUUUUAAGUACGUACUUUUUCAAGAAACACUUGCAUUUUAUUAAAAAUAACGGAGUUAUUCUAAUAUAAGUGCUUUUAUGAAAAACGCUUCUAAAUAAAAAUACUUUUUAGAGACCUAACACACACACACACACACACACACACACACACACACAUAUAUAUUUUAUGCUUUUAUGAAAAACGCUUCUAAAUAAAAAUACUUUUUAGAGACCUAACACACACACACACUCACACACUCACACACACACACAUAUAUAUUUUAUUUUUGAGUAAACUGUCGAUUUGCCCCCUGAACUAUCACCCAACUUUCAAUUUCCCCCCUGAACUUUUUAAUUGGAAAAUUAAGGACUUAAACUAAUUUUUUUGGCCAAUUUCCCCCCUACAGUUAGUUUUUCAUAGAUUUCAUCCAAAUUAACGUUAACUCUUAUCAUAUGCAAACCACGUAACUCUCAUUUGUGGACAAAAGUGUCAUUUCACUAGACCUUUAGAUACAAAAGCUAUAGAAUCACACAUAUUU
This 804-nucleotide long non-coding RNA is filed under the name Malus domestica (apple). Its description in RNAcentral is "long non-coding RNA (MDOM_LNC001682)". The record is from RNAcentral. Lineage: Eukaryota; Viridiplantae; Streptophyta; Magnoliopsida; Rosales; Rosaceae.